CCGGAGUCCAUCGCUGACCUGGAGUCCACCACUGACCUGGAGUCCACAGCGACCCCGGAGUCCAUCGCUGACCUGGAGUCCACCACUGACCUGGAGUCCUCCACUGACCUGGAGUCCACGGCGACCCCGGAGUCCAUCGCUGACCUGGAGUCCACCACUGACCUGGAGUCCUCCACUGACCUGGAGUUCACGGCGACCCCGGAGUCCCCCACUGAUGUGGAGUCCCCCUCGACCCCAGAGUCCACCACUGACCUGGAGUCUCCCAUGGACCUAGUCUCCAUUAGUGAUGUAGAAUCGACCACGGAUGUGCAUUUUGAGGACGCCCAAGCUUUCGAAUUAUCUACUGAGGUGGAAUCGCUCACUCAUAGCUUUGAGGAAGCAAUCACUAAAGCCAUGGAAGAUGUCCCUGCUGCUCAUUCAGAAGAGCCCAUGACCGGAAGACCAGACGAGCCAAGCACCUCUGCGGGAGGCAACGAGUCCGUCUCAGUACUUUCUUGUAAGUU
This 503-nucleotide long non-coding RNA is filed under the name Ursus americanus (American black bear). RNAcentral describes it as "lncRNA (ENSUAMG00000023041.1)". The record is from RNAcentral. Lineage: Eukaryota; Metazoa; Chordata; Mammalia; Carnivora; Ursidae.